UGAAGAACACGAGAUCUCAGAAAUUUUGAGAAAAGGUGAAAUAAUCGAUUAAGGUGAAAUAAUUCCAAGCACAUUCGCGCUCUCCUCGCUCGGCGCCACAGCUCCGUGAAGCCGAAUGAAGCCUCCAUACCUGAAGGCAGCGAGUGUGAGAUUGGGCUGGAUAAGAGCUUCGGCUUCGCCAAACAGUUCUCGGUCCAUUACGAGCUCGGCGAAGAAGUGGGCCGCGGCCAUUUCGGCUACACCUGCUCCGCCAAGUCCAAGAAGGCCCCCCUCAAAGGCAUCGACGUUGCCGUCAAAGUCAUUCCAAAAUCCAAGAUGACUACAGCAAUUGCCAUUGAGGAUGUAAGGAGAGAAGUGAAGAUAUUGCGGGCUCUAACUGGACAUAAGAAUCUGGUGCAAUUCUAUGAAGCCUAUGAAGAUGAUGAAAAUGUUUUUAUAGUUAUGGAGUUAUGCAAAGGAGGGGAAUUGCUAGAUAGGAUUCUUUCCAGGUAAUGAUGUUUGUCAAUUUGCCUUUUUCUGUGCCACAAGUUUCAGUCGUAUGACAU
This is a long non-coding RNA of Vigna radiata var. radiata (mung bean), 545 nucleotides long. RefSeq lists it as uncharacterized. Lineage: Eukaryota; Viridiplantae; Streptophyta; Magnoliopsida; Fabales; Fabaceae. The transcript has 3 exons. The record is from RefSeq and is a predicted model, not a curated record.